AAGGUUGAUUAUUCUAUCGCGCCAAAGAUGCACCCCCGUCCCCGUCUCUCUCCUCUCCUCUUCUAUGCGACUAAAGGCUUGGAUUGGAUUCAAGGAGCCUUUCUUUGUUUUUAUCGUGGGCUAAAUCUUGGGCGGGUCACAGGGGAAGGCGGGUGAUCGGGGUUCCGUGGGGACUUGGGAGGGUUUAUCCCUCGAGUUGCUUGAAGGAGAAGAGUAGGGAGAGAGGGUGGCGCCGAUACGAGAAUCCGAUUCGGCGAGGGGUGGGGGGAGAGAAAGGCGGAGGAGUUUGAUUUCGAUGGAUUCGGUGGAAUCAUGUCGCACGACAACUGGGAAGCUGAUAAGAUGUGAGCUUUCUGCCUCUUUUCCAAGUAUUUCUUGCCUUUUUGUUUUUUUUUUUUGUUCAUGUAGCGUUGGAGCUCGCCCAGGAUGGGUUCUUUCUAAUGUUUGGUGUUUCUUGAUAAUUUCUCCCUUCGGAUAGGGCUCUCCUUGGUGUGGGUUGCCUUCUUUGGGGCGUUCUUGGGUAGGGUUUUGGAAAUUGGAAGAAUGCGAGCUUUCUUCGUUGACUAAUCCAUUCUGGAAUUCAGUGCUUUUUUUAACUUUUCAUGUGAGAAGCCUUUCUUUCUUGGCUCUGGUUUUAAUUUUGCACGACCGAUUUUUCCCAGGUUUGCUGCUGUUUACUGUUUCGUUCUUUUUAUGAUUGUUCUUGCCGAGUGUUCGUUUUUAUGGAUGGAUGACUUUUUCUUUUCUCGUUCUCCGAGUUUUUUUUGGUUCUACGUCUGCUUCUCUACACCCUCUUGCAUGCCAUGCCGCUAGACUUAUGUGCUGGAAGGUUUGUCUUCCGGGUUCUUUGGUAAUUUGAUUUUAGGUGUUUAAAUUUUGAAACUUUGUUUGCUGGUUUCGUUCUGUUGUUCCUUUAUAUAUUUAUUUAUUUGUUUGUUUAUUUAUUUUUUGGCUUUAUUUACCUUUUGUUAACUUUAUAUUAUUCUCUUGUGCUCUUGAAGCUGUAGGUUUUUUCCUAUAACUUUUUAUUGGAAGAUAAUUCUUUGUACUUUAUUCUUUUUUUUUUUUUUGUUAUUGAACUCCAAUUAGGUAGUAUUCCUAGUGGGCUCGAACUUGGAAGUUGUAAUACUGUAUUCUUUUUCGUGUGAGCCUGGUGACAGGCUGGAUGUGUCUAUUUAUGAUUAUUUCAUGAAGAGGCAUUUGCAUGCAUCUGCAAAAGCAUUUCAAGCGGAGGUAAGGGUAUCUUCAGAUCCUGUUGGUGAGUGGUAUGUGAAUUUUAAUAUGGGCAGAGGUGUUCAAGAUGCACUUAGGGUUUUAGGUUUCGACUUUUCCUGGUUUUAGUUUACUUUUGAUGCUAAAUACCAUUGUUUUUCAGCAAUUGAUGCUUUGGGUGGAUUUCUCUUUGAAUGGUGGUCCGUCUUUUGGGAUAUUUUUAUUCCAAGAACGAAUGAAAAGCACUCGGAUUAUCUUUUACAUGUUAGUGAAAUUUAUUUGCAUUACUUUAUCUGCUUUUACUUUGGAUACUAUGUCCUUUCUUGAGAAUUCUGAUUUCCUGCUUUAUUACUUGAAUUAUCUUGGGUCAAUGUCAAGUUUACUGAACUACAUUAAUUGGUUUCAUAGUAGACUUUCUGAUUUAGUAGAAUGCUUUUUGGUUCCUUCUAGUUUUUUGAUGUUUCACAAUGAAUAUUUUCAAUAUUAUGUCAAUUAUCAAGACUAUUUUUCUGACUAUGUAUCUCUCAUUUAUGGAUUUAAACUGAGGGUAGCCAGAAAUACUUUUUGAUGUUUAAGAUUGGGGUGUCAACCAUCAAUUUGGUCUUUAACUUAACCAAUAUUUAAUUCUGAAUCUAAGGAGCCCUAAUUUCUGGUAUCUCUUGGAAGCUCAACGUGCAGAAUUGAUCUCAACUUUAAAUUGCACCUGUAAGUUUCUUUUAGUUUAAGGUUGAAUUUGUGUUUAGUAGGUUUCUCUCAAUAAAAUUUGGCAAAGAUGGCUUCUUUUUUUUUUUUUAAUCUCUUGCUGAGAUAGAGACCCUAUUACAGUAUUAUCUAUACAAGUUGUGGUUUAUAAGGAAUGUCACUUGUAGUUGGGUGGUAUUUUUGGCCGACUCAACUAAUUAGAGCUCGAGAACAUCAGCAACAGAAACAGCAGCAGGAUCCUCAGCUGCAGUGGCAACAGAUUCAAAUGCAACAACUUCUGCUACAGAGGCAUCAGAAGCAACAGCAACAAAAUCAGCAGCCGUGUAGAGAAGGGACCCAUCUUCUAAAUGGUACACCAAAUGGGCUAGUUGCCACUGAUCCUUUAAUGCGACAGAACCCUGGAACUGCAAAUGCUUCCUGGAUCAACACAGGACAUCAAGGCUCAAAUGAAUCCUGCAUUGACUCCCAGGGGUGCAAGCCCUGAUGGAUCAUUAAUUGGAGCUCCAAGUGGUAACCAUGCACGGCCUAAUGAGGGUGGGAGCAAUUUGACAUUGAAAGGAUGGCCCCUCAUAUAGAAGAUAGCUCAGUGGCAAAAACAGCAGCAACAAAACAGCAGCCAGCUGAUGCAGCGGCAGCUUACUCAGCAUGCCUUAUUGAGUCAGCAGUCACAGAGUUGAAGUCACCAUCUUCACCAACAAGAUAAAAUGGGUGCUGCAAGUGUGACAAAGGAUGGAAGCUUGUCAAACUCCUUUUGAGGAGCUGAUCAGGUCUCUCGAAGUCUGGGAUAUGCGUGAGAGCAAGACUGUGGACUCUUCCAGCUCACGAGGGUAGCAUCUGCAAGUCAUGACGAGUUUUGUUAGAACUGUGGAAGUGAAUCCUGCUUCCAAGGAGAGCAUACAUCUGGUGUGUGCCCAGGGAGGCUAGCUCUGUUGGGGAUGAUUUGUUGUUGCAGCGCGGUCCAGCUAUGGUAAAAUAGGGUUGCUGGGUCUCUUUGCAAAUGCCUCGCUAAAUCUAGCAUCCUAAAGUUCAUUUGCCGCAUAGGUACUAACCAACAUCUCCGUUGGUGCCGCCGCCGCCGCCGCCGCCGCCGUUUCGUAUAGGACUUCUGGGGAUUAUAUUGUUUUAAUAGCGGUCGUUUUUCGUCAUAAAUUUCUUCUUUCUUGCCUGAGGUUCAUGCUUCGUUGCCUGCUGAAAUGCUUCAUAAUCGAUUGCUGGUUUCACGUUGAAAACUUUGCCAUUCUUGCUGGAUCGUGUGGGUGAUUAGCCAUUCUUGCCGGAUCCUGCGGACUGUUUGAGAGGCAUCUGUCAAUACGGGUCUAGAUCAUCCGACUUCUGUUGUUGUUUUCGCCAGGAUAGCUGAAAUUUAAGCAGCUCUAUUAUUCCUCAAAAUUGAUGAGGUAGAUGAGGAGGGCACUGGAAGAGUGGUCACGUUGUCGGUGUGAUGCGUUGCUCCAGGUUGCGAUCCGAACUGUCGGGCUCGAGUGCUGCAGAAACUCUUGAUCAUCGUCUGCAUGCUGAAUUUUCGAACCUUGAAAGCCUGUUGCUGGUUGUCGUAAGCUUUUCGGGUUGGUUGGUUUCUUAAGGUUCAUCUCCUGUCCCGCAGAAGCCCCAGGUACGUGAUCCUCAAUUUUUUUUAAUUAUUAUUGGGUUGCUGCUUCUAGUUUGUUAGGAAAGAAAAUGGCUCGUUGGGUUUUAUCUAGAGUUUUAUCUGAAUAGAUCGGAGCUUCUUCUUUUUUUUUUUUUGUAAUUUUUAUUUUCUCAUUUUAUUGGCAACUAUCGGUCGGAUGUGAGCUGCUAUUGUACC
Non-coding RNA from Phoenix dactylifera (date palm), 3718 nucleotides. Lineage: Eukaryota; Viridiplantae; Streptophyta; Magnoliopsida; Arecales; Arecaceae. The record is from RefSeq and is a predicted model, not a curated record.